CCUACGGGAGGCAGCAGUGAGGAAUAUUGGUCAAUGGACGAGAGCCUGAACCAGCCAAGUCGCGUGAAGGAUGACUGCCCUAGGGGUUGUAAACUUCUUUUAUAUGGGAAUAAAGUGUUCCACGUGUGGGGUUUUGUAUGUACCAUACGAAUAAGGAUCGGCUAACUCCGUGCCAGCAGCCGCGGUAAUACGGAGGAUCCGAGCGUUAUCCGGAUUUAUUGGGUUUAAAGGGAGCGUAGGUGGGUUGUUAAGUCAGGUGGGAAAGUUUGCGGCCCAACCGUAAAAUUGCAGUUGAAACUGGCAGGCUUGAGUACAGUAGAGGUGGGCGGAAUUCGUGGUGUAGCGGUGAAAUGCAUAGAUAUCACGCAGAACUCCGAUUGCGAAGGCAGCUCACUGGACUGCGACUGACACUGAGGCACGAAAGUGUGGGUAUCAAACAGGAUUAGAUACCCUUGUAGUC
This 460-nucleotide ribosomal RNA is filed under the name uncultured bacterium. Its description in RNAcentral is "partial 16S ribosomal RNA". It matches the Rfam family "Bacterial small subunit ribosomal RNA", at positions 338 to 795 of the family's 1533-position model. The record is from RNAcentral.